Long non-coding RNA from Antechinus flavipes (yellow-footed antechinus), 1397 nucleotides. RefSeq lists it as uncharacterized. The transcript has 3 exons. NCBI's taxonomy places the organism in Eukaryota, Metazoa, Chordata, Mammalia, Dasyuromorphia, Dasyuridae. The record is from RefSeq and is a predicted model, not a curated record.
UGAAGUUUCUCCAGCUGGGCAAGCUUCUUUCUGUGCGUGGGUCGGUCAAAGAUAAAGCAUUUCUUCCUGGGGAAGAACUGGCGGAUACACUGACGAGCUUUUUGUGUAGCAUUUCUUGCUGCGAACCCACCCUAACUUGGUGUUCUGGAGAACUAGGAGACCAACCCAUUUUCCUGCCACGAUCCAUGCCUCAUCAUUUGGUGGCCCUGUAUGGGGAUGUCUUGUUACUGAGGUAAGAAGCCCACCAUAAUUUCUUCUAUAGUGAGGGGCAGCUCUGGUUCCCCGGGGUUAAAACCUAAGCUACUGACAGACUCUGGGGGUCUGGUUGAGGAAAUUAGUCACCCAUAGGACGCUGUGGGGACGAAAUCCUGUUGUGUUUUUUUCUUUUUUUUGUUUGGAUGAAUUGUCUUCUUACAGAGGGCCUUUCAUUGACACCUUUCCUGAGACAUCUAGAAAGGUUACACUAUAGAAUUGCAAAGUUGUUCGGGCUUGGGGCAAAAAUGGGUCAGUUUUUCUCUUCUGUCCCUAGAGAUUCUCCAUUGGGCUCUCUCUUGAGAAAUAGGAACAAAUUUGGCUUAAAAGACUUAAAGUCGAAAAGGCUCGUCCAUUUUUGUAAUACUGUGUGGCCUCACUAUAAGUUAGACAACCAUGAGGCCAUGGCCAAUUAAUGGCUCUAUCAGUUUCACCACUAUUAGAGAAUUGGACUUGUUUUGCAAGAAACAAGGGAAAUGGAUGGAAAUUCCUUAUGUCCAGGACUUCAUGGCCCUUUCCCAGAACCCAGUUUUUUUUUUUUUUUAACUUGCAGGAUGUUGCUGGCUAAGUCUAUUGUGGAGGAAAUGGAGAAAGAAGCUGACCCUCUGAAUGACUCUCUUCUUCCUACUCCUUUGGAGGUGCAGGGAGCAUCUGCCCCACCUCGCGGCCCUCUGCAGGGUGCUCCUGGCCUCCAAAGCCAUCUCUUUUCCAGAAGGAGGACCCAGGAUCCCAGGUUAUCCAACCUUUCCCUCCUCCCCCUCCCCCAGAGCUGGACUCUGGGGCUGAGGCUUCCUUGUGGCUUAACCCUUCUAGGAAGAGAAGCAGCACUUCCUUCUCUUCCUAUUCCCUCCCACCUCUUCCUUCUCCUCCACAUCCAAAAGAAGGCCUGACCUGUUUCUCAAAGGAGGGGCUUGAGUGACUCAAGGAGAAACCCAGAGUGCCUGAAAUUGAUAAGGACAUUAAUCAAACUCAGAGGAGGAAUGUACUGGUUAAACUCAUGAACAGCAGUAUCCUUUUUUGUUCACUUUUAACCAGAAUGAUCUAUUUUAGGGAAAUGGUGUUGUUACUAUUAUUCUGUUAAAAACUAUAGACUCAGAGUAAUGCUUUAAAAUGCAUAAAAUAAAACACAAUUACAAAGAAAAAAA